This 73-nucleotide transfer RNA is filed under the name Ricinus communis (castor bean). It matches the Rfam family "tRNA". Rfam says of the family: Transfer RNA (tRNA) molecules are approximately 80 nucleotides in length. Their secondary structure includes four short double-helical elements and three loops (D, anti-codon, and T loops). Lineage: Eukaryota; Viridiplantae; Streptophyta; Magnoliopsida; Malpighiales; Euphorbiaceae. The record is from Rfam by way of RNAcentral.
GCGGAUGUAGCCAAGUGGAUCAAGCAGUGGAUUAUGAAUCCACCAUGCGCAGGUUUAAUUCUCGUCAUUCGUC